AGAGUUCGAUCCUGGCUCAGGAUGAACGCUGGCGGCGCGCCUAACACAUGCAAGUCGAACGGCACCCCUCUCCGGAGGGAAGCGAGUGGCGAACGGCUGAGUAACACGUGGAGAACCUGCCCCCUCCCCCGGGAUAGCCGCCCGAAAGGACGGGUAAUACCGGAUACCCCGGGGUGCCGCAUGGCACCCCGGCUAAAGCCCCGACGGGAGGGGAUGGCUCCGCGGCCCAUCAGGUAGACGGCGGGGUGACGGCCCACCGUGCCGACAACGGGUAGCCGGGUUGAGAGACCGACCGGCCAGAUUGGGACUGAGACACGGCCCAGACUCCUACGGGAGGCAGCAGUGGGGAAUCUUGCGCAAUGGGGGGAACCCUGACGCAGCGACGCCGCGUGCGGGACGGAGGCCUUCGGGUCGUAAACCGCUUUCAGCAGGGAAGAGUCAAGACUGUACCUGCAGAAGAAGCCCCGGCUAACUACGUGCCAGCAGCCGCGGUAAUACGUAGGGGGCGAGCGUUAUCCGGAUUCAUUGGGCGUAAAGCGCGCGUAGGCGGCCCGGCAGGCCGGGGGUCGAAGCGGGGGGCUCAACCCCCCGAAGCCCCCGGAACCUCCGCGGCUUGGGUCCGGUAGGGGAGGGUGGAACACCCGGUGUAGCGGUGGAAUGCGCAGAUAUCGGGUGGAACACCGGUGGCGAAGGCGGCCCUCUGGGCCGAGACCGACGCUGAGGCGCGAAAGCUGGGGGAGCGAACAGGAUUAGAUACCCUGGUAGUCCCAGCCGUAAACGAUGGACGCUAGGUGUGGGGGGACGAUCCCCCCGUGCCGCAGCCAACGCAUUAAGCGUCCCGCCUGGGGAGUACGGCCGCAAGGCUAAAACUCAAAGGAAUUGACGGGGGCCCGCACAAGCAGCGGAGCAUGUGGCUUAAUUCGA
Molecule: ribosomal RNA, 924 nt
Filed under: marine sediment metagenome
Description: bacterial SSU rRNA
Rfam family: Bacterial small subunit ribosomal RNA
Source: RNAcentral